UCUCCACCCACGAUUCCCCUCUGUCUCUCCACCCAGUUUUGUGGAUUUUCCAUGGAUCUACAAAGGAGGAGCAAUAUUGAAAGAUGUGGAAGGAGAGACGGAGGAGGCGAUUUGUAGCCGAAAAUCCCUUCCGCUUCGCUUCCUCCGUCAUGUUGCAGCUCGUCAUGGAACGGUCUCAAUUGUAAGAAGUGUCACCACGUACAUUAGGAAGGCUCACUCACAGCAGUGGGCCAUUGAUCGGUGGCCAGAGCUGCAGCUCUUUGACUGACAGCCCUCCUGUCUCUUCAUCUGAGAUCGAUGAUUCUUCCAGAAUACCCCGAAACAAAGCAGACAAUCAUUUCCGUAGUAGAAGAAACCCCAACAGCCCAAAUGAGAUCAGAGUUUCUAACGAUGACUCAUAUCUUGGCAUGUGGAAGAUUGCAGUGGGCUGUGAAAGAAAGACGCGAGAGUUCCAGGAGAUUUCCAACAACUCCUUUGCUGCCACAGCUAGGAAAGUAAAUGAUGAUAACCCAGAUGCUCUGGAGCUUAAGUACUACUAGUUCAAGAAGAUUCUGAAAGUCCCAAAGGAUGAGAGGGACAGGGCCCAACAAAUGCAGGUCAUCGAUCGGGCAGUAGUUGCUCAAGCUCUUCUUGAGGAGAAUCCUCAGGAAAACGCUGUUACGGAUGUUGAUUUGGGUUUUUUUUUUUAAUUUUUAUUUAGGCCUGAGGUUCCAAAGAUUGAGGGUAAUGUUAUAAUUAUUCAAGAAGGAUUUUACUUAAAUUUGGGGAUUUUGGCGUUUGUGGUUUUUUUACUUCCAAGUGCUUAUUUGGAUGCACCAUUUCAACAAUGCCACUUUGAAGUUUGCAUCUUCAAGAAGGUAAUUCAUUGAGAACUCAUAGGUUUGUUGGCUAGUUUUGAAGCUUCAGAUUCAACUACGUUAAUCAUUUCAGGUAAUUUGAUCCGAAAUGCCCAAAGUUUAUCUCUUGAUCAAACUU
Molecule: long non-coding RNA, 975 nt
Organism: Magnolia sinica
Lineage: Eukaryota; Viridiplantae; Streptophyta; Magnoliopsida; Magnoliales; Magnoliaceae
Exons: 4
Source: RefSeq, a predicted model, not a curated record